GGUUUUUUGUGUUAUAUGAAAAAUCUGGCCUGCCCGCUGGUUGAAGGGCUGCAGUAUUUUGACUGUACAAAGGUAGCAUAAUCAUUAGUCUUUUAAUUGAGGACUGGUAUGAAAGGUUAAACGGAAUUUGACUGUCUCUAGAAAUUGAGGUGAAUUUAUUUUUUUGUGAAAAAACAAAAAUGUAUUAAAGGGACAAAAAGACCCUAUUAAACUUUAAUUUUUAUAUUAAUUAUAGUUAUUAAGUUUUACUGGGGCGGUAAGUUACAUAAUUUUCUUUUGAUAGAUUAUUAGAGUAAGAUCCAAAAGGUUGAUAGUAAGAAUAAGUUACUAUAGGGAUAACAGCGUAAUAUUUUCUGAAAGUUCUUAUUGACGAAAUUGUUUGCGACCUCGAUGUUGGAUUAAGAAGUCUAAUUAACGCAGGAGUUAAUUAAGAUGGUCUGUUCGACCUUUAAUUUCUU
RNAcentral lists this ribosomal RNA (458 nucleotides) under Apeuthes sp. 3 PP-2021a. RNAcentral describes it as "partial large subunit ribosomal RNA". It matches the Rfam family "Bacterial large subunit ribosomal RNA", at positions 1885 to 2597 of the family's 2925-position model. The record is from RNAcentral. Lineage: Eukaryota; Metazoa; Arthropoda; Diplopoda; Spirobolida; Trigoniulidae.